RNAcentral lists this unclassified non-coding RNA (268 nucleotides) under Cladophialophora chaetospira. Its description in RNAcentral is "partial internal transcribed spacer region". The stretch from base 1 to 46 matches the Rfam family "Eukaryotic small subunit ribosomal RNA", at positions 1786 to 1831 of the family's 1831-position model. Lineage: Eukaryota; Fungi; Ascomycota; Eurotiomycetes; Chaetothyriales; Herpotrichiellaceae. The record is from RNAcentral.
AAGUCGUAACAAGGUUUCCGUAGGUGAACCUGCGGAAGGAUCAUUAACGAGUUAGGGUCUUCUAGGCCCGACCUCCCAACCCUAUGUUUAUCGAACCUCUGUUGCUUCGGCGGACCCGCCUCACGGCCGCCGGAGGACCGCUGCAAGGCGUCCUCUGGCCAGCGCCCGCCGAUGGCCAACCACUUAAAACUCUGAAUGAAUCGUGUCAUAUGUCUAAGUCUAUGAUUAAAUUAAAGCAAAACUUUCAACAACGGAUCUCUUGGUUCUG